UCAAGCUAAAAAGGGCGCAAGGUGAAUGCCUUGGCACUGGGAGCCGAUGAAAGACGUGGUAAGCUGCGAAAAGCUUCGGGGAGGAGCAAACAUCCAUUGAUCCGGAGAUAUCUGAAUGGGGCAACCCAAUGGAGUUCAUACUCCAUUAUCCAAUACUGAAUCCAUAGGUAUUGGAAGGGAACCGCCUGAACUGAAACAUCUAAGUAGGGCGAGGAAGAGACAUCAAACGAGAUUCCGUAAGUAGUGGCGAGCGAACGCGGAAGAGGGCAAACCGAGAGGAGAAAUCCUUUCGGGGUACGGACUGCUUUUAGGACUGAAAGAGUUAACAGAAUGGCAUGGGAAGGCCAACCAAAGAGUGUGAGAGUCACGUAAGUAAAAAUUCUGACAGCUGCGCAGGAUCCAGAGUACGGCCAGACACGUGAAACCUGGUCGGAAUAUGGGGGGACCACCCUCCAACCCUAAAUACUACCCAGUGACCGAUAGCGUAUAGUACUGUGAAGGAAAGGUGAAAAGGACCCCGGGAGGGGAGUGAAAGAGAACCUGAAACCUUGUGCCUACAAGCACAUAGAGCCCGUCAAAGGGUGAUAUGGUACUUUUUGUAGAACGGUCCGGCGAGCGAUUGUACGUUGCGAGCUUAAGGUCUUAAGGACUGGAGGCGUAGCGAGAGCGAGUCUAAACAGGGCGUUUAGUAGCGUGCAAUGGGCCCGAAACCGGGUGACCUACCCAUGAUCAGGCUGAAGUGAAAGUAAAAUUUCAUGGAGGGCCGAACCGACCUCCGUUGAAAAGGCGGCGGAUGAAUUGUGGGUAGCGGAGAAAUUCCAAUCGAACUCGGAGAUAGCUGGUUCUCCCCGAAAUAGCUUUAGGGCUAGCCUCAUGUUAGAUAUCCGGAGGUAAAGCACUGAAUGGCCUAGCGUCCGAGAGGAUAGCGAAGCCUAUCAAACUAAGAAUGCCGGAAUAUUGAUGCAUGGGAGUCAGACAGUGUGAGAUAAAUCUCAUUGUCAAAAGGGAAACAGCCCAGAUCUACAGCUAAGGUCCCAAAUUGUAUCUAAGUGGAAAACGAUGUGGAAAUACGCAGACAACCAGGAUGUUGGCUCAGAAGCAGCCACUCAUUUAAAGAGUGCGUAAUAGCUCACUGGUCGAGCGUCUCUGCGCGGAAAAUUUAACGGGGCUAAGAUACAAACCGAAGCUUAGGCUGCACGUAAGUGCGGGGUAGGGGAGCGUUGUGUAAGCGGAGAAACAGUAGCGUAAGCGGCUGUGGAGUUUACAGAAGUGAGAAUGCCGGAAUGAGUAGCGCGAAUGAUGUGAGAAUCAUCAUGGCCGGAAACCUCAGGUUUUUGGAGGAAGGUUCGUCCGCUCCAAGUUAGGCGGGAGCUAAGGUGAGGCCGAAAGGCGUAGCCGAUGCACAGACGGUAGAGAUUCCGUCCCCACCGAAAGAUUUAAGCGCAGGGACACUUUUAGAAGGUCGGAGCCAGGUGUUGGUUCUGGUAGAGAUCGAGGGAAGAUUAGUACCGAAGUCCGGCUGGAUAAGAGGCGAGAAAAGCUGCGUGUAUAUCUAAGGUGCCCGUACCGCAAACCGACACAGGUAGGUAGGAAGAAGAUUCUAAGGCCAACGGGAGAAGGGUUGUUAAGGAACUCGGCAAGUUGACCCCGUAACUUCGGAAUAAGGGGUGCUCAUGAAAGUGAGCCGCAGAGAAUAGGCCCAGGCAACUGUUUACCAAAAACACAGGUUUGUGCUAAAUCGAAAGAUGACGUAUACGAGCUGACGCCUGCCCGGUGCUGGAAGGUUAAAAGGAGAUGUGCAAGCAUUGAAUUGAAGCCCCAGUGAACGGCGGCCGUAACUAUAACGGUCCUAAGGUAGCGAAAUUCCUUGUCAGGUAAGUUCUGACCCG
This 1889-nucleotide ribosomal RNA is filed under the name human gut metagenome. RNAcentral's name for it is "bacterial LSU rRNA". It matches the Rfam family "Bacterial large subunit ribosomal RNA", at positions 3 to 1990 of the family's 2925-position model. The record is from RNAcentral.